RNAcentral lists this unclassified non-coding RNA (253 nucleotides) under Hevea brasiliensis (rubber tree). The record is from RNAcentral. Lineage: Eukaryota; Viridiplantae; Streptophyta; Magnoliopsida; Malpighiales; Euphorbiaceae.
AAAGCAUCAGAGCUCCGAAACAUACUUGCCUCGUUGGAGAAGGCACGAUAGCUUCAUAGUUCAAAGACGAUCGAUAGCAAUGAGCCAAAACGUAACUUUGUGCAUCACAAGUUCGUUGGUCAGAUAGCUUCUGAGCCAUUGUAAGUGGCUUCAGAAAUGGUUGAAAGACAUUGCUCAUCAUGGUCUUAACCUUUAACCGAAUGCUGUCAGCAAACAUCACCAACGAAAACGAUCAGUUGGAAUUGGACCGCGG